GACUGAUGCAAAGGUAGUGAGUUAGGUUAACUGAUAGUUCACAGUAAGUUAUAGAUCAAACUCCUUGUUCUACUCUUUCCCCUUUUCACUACUGCACUUGACUAUUCUUUU
Vulpes vulpes (red fox) is the source of this 111-nucleotide unclassified non-coding RNA. It matches the Rfam family "Y RNA". From Rfam's summary of the family: Y RNAs are components of the Ro ribonucleoprotein particle (Ro RNP), in association with Ro60 and La proteins. The record is from Ensembl. Lineage: Eukaryota; Metazoa; Chordata; Mammalia; Carnivora; Canidae.